RNAcentral lists this RNase P RNA (417 nucleotides) under Caldifarciminota bacterium. RNAcentral describes it as "candidate division WOR-3 bacterium (hot springs metagenome) RNase P RNA component class A". It matches the Rfam family "Bacterial RNase P class A". From Rfam's summary of the family: Ribonuclease P (RNase P) is a ubiquitous endoribonuclease, found in archaea, bacteria and eukarya as well as chloroplasts and mitochondria. Its best characterised activity is the generation of mature 5'-ends of tRNAs by cleaving the 5'-leader elements of precursor-tRNAs. Lineage: Bacteria; Pseudomonadati; Caldifarciminota. The record is from RNAcentral.
GAGGGAGGUCGGGAAGUCGCGUCCCCGAUCAGGGGAUGAGGAAAGUCCGAGCUCCAAAGGGCAGGGUGCCACCUAACAGGUGGGCGCGGUAACGCGACGGAUAGGGCCACAGAAACAAGACAGCCGAUGGCCCGAACGGGCUCAGGCUAAGGUGAAACCGUGGGGUAAGAGCCCACGAUGGUGUCACGCAAGUGGCACCAUGGCAACCCCCACCCGGAGCAAGGUCAAGCAGGGGCGAAGGAGUGGCCCGCUCCAAGUCACCCGUAUGGGUGUACUCCGAGUCACCCGUAUGGGUGUACUCCAAGUCACCCGUAUGGGUGACUAAGCCCCGGGUGGACCGCUAAAAUCCACCGGUGACGGUGGAUUAAGAGAAAUGACUUCCCUCGACAGAACUCGGCUUACAGACCUCCCUCACCC